AUCAACAUCAUAAUAUCGCACAUGCAGACCUAUAUUCGGCGGGGGAGGCCACUUGUGGCCGCAGUUCCCCCGAUCUUAUGUGCUGCCAGCGUAGAGAAACAAGGAUCGUUGCUGGGCGCCUGACGUUGAUCUAGUGUGAUACGUUGGGAAUCAGCUGUAUCCACAGCC
Molecule: small nucleolar RNA, 168 nt
Filed under: Eremothecium gossypii ATCC 10895
Lineage: Eukaryota; Fungi; Ascomycota; Saccharomycetes; Saccharomycetales; Saccharomycetaceae
Description: Ashbya gossypii ATCC 10895 Small nucleolar RNA snR32
Rfam family: Small nucleolar RNA snR32
Source: Rfam by way of RNAcentral